GGAGGGCAAGUCUGGUGCCAGCAGCCGCGGUAAUUCCAGCUCCAAUAGCGUAUAUUAAAGUUGUUGCAGUUAAAAAGCUCGUAGUUGAUUUUCUGUUAAUUUUUAUGUAUAAUAUUGCGAUAUUUACAUAAUAUUAACAUAAUUCACAUUACUUUACGGUAUGUGGAAUUUUACUUUGAGAAAAUUAGAGUGCUUAAAGCAGGCUAUUGCCUUGAAUACUCCAGCAUGGAAUAAUAUUAAGGAUUUUUAUUCUUCUUAUUGGUUCUAGAAUAAAAAUAAUGAUUAAUAGGAACAGUUGGGGGCAUUUGUAUUUAACAGUUAGAGGUGAAAUUCUUAGAUUUGUUAAAGACAAACUACUGCGAAAGCAUUUGCCAAGGAUGUUUUCAUUAAUCAAGAACGAAAGUUAGGGGAUCGAAGACGAUCAGAUACCGUCGUAGUCUUAACCAUAAACUAUGCCAACUAGAGAUUGGAGGUUGUUCCUUACUCCUUCAGCACCUUAAGGAGGUUGUUCCUUACUCCUUAGCACCUUAA
This 531-nucleotide ribosomal RNA is filed under the name Cryptosporidium scrofarum. Its description in RNAcentral is "SSU rRNA". It matches the Rfam family "Eukaryotic small subunit ribosomal RNA", at positions 550 to 1102 of the family's 1831-position model. The record is from RNAcentral. Lineage: Eukaryota; Apicomplexa; Conoidasida; Eucoccidiorida; Cryptosporidiidae.